RNAcentral lists this long non-coding RNA (397 nucleotides) under Brassica napus (rape). Its description in RNAcentral is "long non-coding RNA (BNAP_LNC001510)". The record is from RNAcentral. Lineage: Eukaryota; Viridiplantae; Streptophyta; Magnoliopsida; Brassicales; Brassicaceae.
UUUGGCUGAACUAUGUUGUUGUUUUUGGAACUUGUAUGUGUUUGUUUUAAAACCUAAAACGGAUGAACUUGUAUGUGUGUGUGUUUUAAAACCUAAAACUUGUAUGUGUGUGUGUUUUAAAACCUAAAACUUGUAUGUGUGUGUGUUUUAAAACCUAAAACUUGUAUGUGUGUGUGUUUUAAAACCUAAAACUUGUAUGUGUGUGUGUUUUAAAACCUAAAUCCAAACUUGGUGGUUGAACAGGUUGCAAUUACAGGUGGGAAGUAAAACAACAUUACAGCAUCAACUAUGCCAAAAAAUAUGAAAGUAGUAUAACUAGAAAAACUAGUACACCUAGUGUUAAAUUAAAAAGUGUAGGACUUAUCUGGGAAUCCACUUAUUUGAAACUCAUUAUGCA